AUAAAAUGUUUCAACUUUAUUUGAGUCUAAUAUAGAAUACAUAUAUAUGUGUCAUGACUCAUGAUAAGAGCAUGUGCAGUGUGCACAAACAUUUGCAGCAUGAAAAACCGAGAAGAUCCGUCUUUGUCGCAGGUCGCUACGUCAAUUUUUCGCAAAGUUAGAGCGUUUUAAAAAUUCAGUGGGUGCAUCUAAAAAUAGACGCGGUACGCGGAAACGCGCGGCGCACGGAAUGCGACAGUCUAUUUUUAUUCUAUCGUCUAGACACUUGCUAGACAUUUGGGGCAUUGACCUACAUAAUAACACAGCCCGACGUGUCAGCAUCAUCGGUUGACUUCGGCUUUUGUUCGGUGUCACUCGGGAUACAUGGGUCGAUGAGAUUAUCAAUUGUACUCUCGCGGAAAGUGCAAGUGUCAUCAGCAAAAAAAGUUUAGCGCGUCUAAUAAGGCCAAGAUCUAUCUCAAGUAAUUAAUUUGAAAGAUAUCAUCAAUUAACUACGAAAACAAAAUUAAUUUUAUUGGUACUUAGCAUAACAACGUGAAAUAGUUACUAUCAGCUCGGUUUGUCAGAUUUAUAGGUUAGAAUGGCAUGUUGACAUGCACUUUGCGGUUGCAAUAAACAUUACUUGAACAGCAUAUCUAUGCAUAGAUCUACACGAACAUUUUUUUAGGCUACGUAUCAAUCCUCUGUACCGAAAGAAUUAAUGAGAUUCUUGAAGUAUAUCUAUAUUGCAAGGUUGAGUCAGUCAACAAACAGGUGCAACAUAUCUCGUUUCUUUAAUGCUAUAAAAUAUAAAUAAGUAAUAAUAUAACGAAGUAUAAAAAUAUUAAUCGAAAUAUUGUGAUGCAUAUCAGAAUCGAGAAAAUUCUCAUAUCGAUUCUCUUUGUAUUCUAGUAAAUGUCAUGAGAGUUGAUAUCGCA
Linepithema humile (Argentine ant) is the source of this 917-nucleotide long non-coding RNA. RefSeq lists it as uncharacterized. Lineage: Eukaryota; Metazoa; Arthropoda; Insecta; Hymenoptera; Formicidae. The record is from RefSeq and is a predicted model, not a curated record.